GUGCUCACUUCAGCAGCAUAUACACUAAAAUUGUGAACGAUACAGAGAAAAUUAGCAUGGCUCCCAAACAAGGAUGACAUGCAAAUUCACGAAGCAUUCUGUAUUUUU
This is a small nuclear RNA of Sciurus vulgaris (Eurasian red squirrel), 108 nucleotides long. Lineage: Eukaryota; Metazoa; Chordata; Mammalia; Rodentia; Sciuridae. The record is from Ensembl.